ACGAAGGGUGCAAGCGUUACUCGGAAUUACUGGGCGUAAAGCGUGCGUAGGUGGUUUGUUAAGUCAGAUGUGAAAGCCCCGGGCUCAACCUGGGAAUUGCAUUUGAUACUGGCAGACUAGAGUGCGGUAGAGGAGAGUGGAAUUCCCGGUGUAGCAGUGAAAUGCGUAGAGAUCGGGAGGAACAUCAGUUGCGAAGGCGGCUCUCUGGACCAGCACUGACACUGAGGCACGAAAGCGUGGGGAGCAAACAGGAUUAGAUACCCUGGUAGUCCACGCCCUAAACGAUGCGAACUGGACGUUGGGAUCAAUUGAGAUUUCAGUGUCGAAGCUAACGCGUUAAGUUCGCCGCCUGGGGAGUACGGUCGCAAGACUG
RNAcentral lists this ribosomal RNA (373 nucleotides) under uncultured bacterium. RNAcentral describes it as "bacterial SSU rRNA". It matches the Rfam family "Bacterial small subunit ribosomal RNA", at positions 525 to 896 of the family's 1533-position model. The record is from RNAcentral.